AAAACAACAGUUCCCGACUCUGUACCACCUGCUUCAAUGCAAGCCAGGGCCCGGAGUGAUGCAACCCACAAGCGUGGAAGGGGCUGGCGGAUGGGCUGUCUCGGGGCUGAUCUGAUGUCAGAGCAGAUCAUGUGGUGCUCUGUGGGCAGCAGGGACUGGCCCGCGGGAAGCACAUGGAUUACAGUCUGAGGCUGUGAUGGGAAAGUCGGAUCCUGGGCUGUUGUCUCACACACAUCAGCAGGCGGGGAAGCUGGGGACUCCGACUCGCCCUGCCCGGGCCCUCCUGCUGCGUGGUCACAGGCAAUCGCUGAGAGAAGCUGCUGCUCCAACCUGAUUAAAGUGAAUUGAUUUCAGAUUCUGUAACCCUGUGUUGGACUUGUUUUCUAUGUGGCAAGCGAGGGGUGCGGAGAGGGUGGGCUCUCCCUCCGUCAACAUCACUGCUUCUUAAGAUUCAGGUUGUGUUUGUGCCAGAGGAAUAUAGUGGUUGCCACCCUUCCUUGCUGUGGGAGUACCGUGCUACCUCAUGCCUCAGGCUGGAUCCUCAGCUCUCCAGUAUCCUACGUGUGGCCUUUCUGGAGUAUGAGAGCAGAGAUGGAAUAGCAUCUUACUGUUCCUUCCGGCAUAUUACACUCAACCUCCUUCACAGGCUGGAAAUAAAUAUGUGUACUUGGAAGGCAAAAGCUUUCUACAAUCCGAGGUUUAAGUCAUGGAACACCAAACAACAGACAGGAGCUUGCCCCACCCAUCGAGCUGUGAACAUGGAGGCCUCACUUCCCAUCUCAUCCCCCUGA
This 791-nucleotide long non-coding RNA is filed under the name Cricetulus griseus (Chinese hamster). RNAcentral's name for it is "lncRNA (ENSCGRG00000025948.1)". Lineage: Eukaryota; Metazoa; Chordata; Mammalia; Rodentia; Cricetidae. The record is from RNAcentral.